UACGUAGGGUGCAAGCGUUACUCGGAAUUACUGGGCGUAAAGCGUGCGCAGGCGGUUUUGUAAGUCUGGCGUGAAAGCCCCGGGCUCAACCUGGGAAUUGCGAUGGAGACUGCAAGGCUUGAAUCUGGCAGAGGGGGGUAGAAUUCCACGUGUAGCAGUGAAAUGCGUAGAGAUGUGGAGGAACACCGAUGGCGAAGGCAGCCCCCUGGGUCAAGAUUGACGCUCAUGCACGAAAGCGUGGGGAGCAAACAGG
This 253-nucleotide ribosomal RNA is filed under the name uncultured bacterium. RNAcentral's name for it is "partial 16S ribosomal RNA". It matches the Rfam family "Bacterial small subunit ribosomal RNA", at positions 524 to 776 of the family's 1533-position model. The record is from RNAcentral.